GUUUCAGGGCGGGGUGAGAUUCCCCACUGGCGGUAACUGGGAGGGCGCACGCCCCCAGAAGCCCGCGACCCGCGAAUACGCGGCUGACCCGGUGCGAGUCCGGGGCCAACGGUCAAAGUCCGGAUGGAAGAAA
Molecule: non-coding RNA, 133 nt
Filed under: Parolsenella catena
Lineage: Bacteria; Bacillati; Actinomycetota; Coriobacteriia; Coriobacteriales; Atopobiaceae
Description: FMN riboswitch (RFN element)
Rfam family: FMN riboswitch aptamer (RFN element)
About the family: The RFN element is a highly conserved domain that is found frequently in the 5'-untranslated regions of prokaryotic mRNAs that encode for flavin mononucleotide (FMN) biosynthesis and transport proteins. This element is a metabolite-dependent riboswitch that directly binds FMN in the absence of proteins. In Bacillus subtilis, the riboswitch most likely controls gene expression by causing premature transcription termination within the 5' untranslated region of the ribDEAHT operon and precluding access to the ribosome-binding site of ypaA mRNA.
Source: RNAcentral